CUGCAAACCAAAUUUUAUAACGAAAUCAAUGUAUUUACUUAUUACCAGUUUUUUACCAAUUAAAAUAAAAGAAAACAUUUCUUUUCAUCAAAUACAUAUUUGUUUUUAGUUUUAAGAUCUGUAGUAAAUCCACGGAUAUAACGCUGGAAUUUAUUUAUUCAUUUAUUUGCUCAUCCAAGGACCAUUUCACAAUGUUGUAGAAAGUAUCAUGGAAAUAAAACGAAAAUCAAUGGCUCAAAGUAUACACGUAGAGAAUAUGCAACUAUGCCUUAUGAGGAUAGGGCAAUUGAUUGGAGAAGUGGUAAACUAUGGAUUUGAUGAGGGAAUCAUCUGGGAAUUUGCCGGAAAUUAUUUAGGAGAAACGCGGAAAACCUGAGUGAUGAUGGCAAGACAGAGCUGACUCCAUCUUCUCGAAUAUGAGGUGCUGACCUUAGUGAUCCUGGGAGCCGUGGCCACCGCCAGGGGCGCUGCGGUGCCCACCACAGCCAACCCCUGUCAAGUGCAGCAGAAAGAAGAGCCUGUGGACUUAGGCAACAUCGGAGUGUUUGGUGUGAACUUCGGUGUCAGAAGUUUCAGCCCAACUGUGAAUGUAAACAAUACCAGCUACCUUCCGAGUGACACCUACUAUUCUGGAUAUAAACUCAGCACUGAACAUUCUUCUGUCAUUGAACCCACCUUCAGAUAAUGCUCUUGAGGCGACUCCAGCACCUACUGGGAAACUGUUGACCCCUCUGUGUGUGUUUUCUACCUGUACCUGUAUUACUCAGCUCCCAGACGUCCAAACAGAUGAUCAGUUCUACAACGUCUUCUGCAGGUGUGUGUCUGAAGGGAUGUACAGUGUGCCUCAAUAAAAUCGCGCCACAGCCAUGAUAA
This is a long non-coding RNA of Schistocerca piceifrons (Central American locust), 873 nucleotides long. RefSeq lists it as uncharacterized. The transcript is spliced from 2 exons. The record is from RefSeq and is a predicted model, not a curated record. NCBI's taxonomy places the organism in Eukaryota, Metazoa, Arthropoda, Insecta, Orthoptera, Acrididae.